GGGUGGUAAGUAGGUGGGGAGACAGCACAGUAUGGGCUGCGAGUUGGUGUUGAGACAGCAGUGUGGGUGGUAAGUAGGUGGGGAGACAGCACAGUAUGGGCUGCGAGUUGGUGUUGAGACAGCAGUGAGGGUGUGGGUGGUGAGUUGGUGUUGAGACAGCAGCGAGGGUGUGGGUGGUGAGUUGGUGUUGAGAGAGCAAUGUGGGUGGUAAGUAGGUGGGGAGACAGCACAGUGUGGGCGGCGAGUUGGUGUUGAGACCGCAGUGAGGGUGGUAAGUAGGUGGGGAGACAGCACAGUAUGGGCUGCGAGUUGGUGUUGAGACAGCAGUGUGGGUGGUGAGCAGAUUGGAAUACAGCAGUGUGAGUGGUGACUUACUAGAGAAGACAACAGUCUUCUGUCAUUAGGUGUUCAGCUAGGUCACAGACGGCCAGGCUCUACGUGCUGCCUGAGACGGGUGGAUACCUGAGCAGGAGAGAUGUGGGUGUGGCUGGUAUUAGCCCUCUUGGUCAGCUGGGCCGAGGCGAUGAGACGCUGGGAAUAUUUCAUUGCACCUGGAGUUACAUUCAACAAUAGCGAGGCCUACAACAGCUCUCCCGUCAGCUCCCUAUGUACGUGCAAGACAAGAUGUUUCGCUACUGACACAUGCAAGGCGUGGACAGCGAAGAGAGAGGCUGGAACCUGGUACUGUCUACUCGCUAAACAAGGACCAUCCCUUACCACUACUCUCGCCACCCACGCUGAUUCUGUUUAUGGUUUCAUGGAAGACUCGCUCACGGGUCUAAUCGAUGCAGUCCAAGAAGCGGACGGAUGUCAAAAUUUGGUGCCAAAUC
Non-coding RNA from Cherax quadricarinatus, 830 nucleotides. NCBI's taxonomy places the organism in Eukaryota, Metazoa, Arthropoda, Malacostraca, Decapoda, Parastacidae. The record is from RefSeq and is a predicted model, not a curated record.